AAGCGGAGGAGAGGCAGAGAUCGCAGGAGGUUUCGCGGGUUUCGCGGGCUUCCCUUCGGAUUCUUUCCCCCCCCCCCCGCGCGAAGCCGGAGCGAACCGGGGUUGGUGGGUGGGGGGAGAAGGGAGAGAAAGCGGGAAGAUCUGAGGGAGCGAGGAAGAGCGAAUUAUAGAGGAAGUUGGCAGGAUAAUCGCUUGGGGUUGCAGAGUGGCCACGGACUUUAAUGAUAAGCUGGAGAAAACAUUUCCUUCUGUUAACUCUCCCAUGAAGUUCCCUGUUAUGGAAGCAAUACUGUGCUGCUGAUCUGUGGAUAAUUACUCCAGCGUGAGAUCUUCCUCUAUACCAGCAGUUCUCGAAGUGUGAUCUCAGGAUCCCUGAAUAUCCCCGAGACCAUUUCAAGGGAUGCGCAA
Molecule: non-coding RNA, 408 nt
Organism: Notechis scutatus (mainland tiger snake)
Lineage: Eukaryota; Metazoa; Chordata; Lepidosauria; Squamata; Elapidae
Source: RefSeq, a predicted model, not a curated record